AUUAUUUUGGCAGAUAAGUGCAACGGAUUUAGAAUUCGUAUAUGUAGUAGUAUAUUUCUAUAAAUAGUA
RNAcentral lists this transfer RNA (69 nucleotides) under Polyphaga plancyi. Its description in RNAcentral is "tRNA-Leu". Lineage: Eukaryota; Metazoa; Arthropoda; Insecta; Blattodea; Corydiidae. The record is from RNAcentral.